AGCGAACGCGGUGAACUGAAACAUCUAAGUAACCGCAGGAAAAGAAAUCAACCGAGAUUCCCAAAGUAGUGGCGAGCGAAAUGGGAUGAGCCUUGCACUCUUUAUUUGUAUUGUUAGCCGAACGCUCUGGAAAGUGCGGCCAUAGCAGGUGAUAGCCCUGUAGGCGAAAACAGUAUGAAAGAACUAGGUGUGCGACAAGUAGGGCGGGACACGUGAAAUCCUGUCUGAAGAUGGGGGGACCAUCCUCCAAGGCUAAAUACUCGUGAUCGACCGAUAGUGAACCAGUACCGUGAGGGAAAGGCGAAAAGAACCCCGGGAGGGGAGUGAAAUAGAUCCUGAAACCGCAUGCAUACAAACAGUCGGAGCCUCGUAAGGGGUGACGGCGUACCUUUUGUAUAAUGGGUCAGCGACUUACGUUCAGUAGCAAGCUUAACCGUAUAGGGCAGGCGUAGCGAAAGCGAGUCCGAAUAGGGCGUUCAGUUGCUGGGCGUAGACCCGAAACCAGGUGAUCUAUCCAUGGCCAGGAUGAAGGUGCGGUAACACGUACUGGAGGUCCGAACCCACUAACGUUGAAAAGUUAGGGGAUGAGCUGUGGAUAGGGGUGAAAGGCUAAACAAACCUGGAAAUAGCUGGUUCUCUCCGAAAACUAUUUAGGUAGUGCCUCGUGUCUCACCUUCGGGGGUAGAGCACUGUCAUGGUUGGGGGGUCUAUUGCAGAUUACCCCGCCAUAGCAAACUCCGAAUACCGAAGAGUGCAAUCACGGGAGACAGACAUCGGGUGCUAACGUCCGGUGUCAAGAGGGAAACAACCCAGACCGCCAGCUAAGGUCCCCAAAUAUAGCUAAGUGGGAAACGAAGUGGGAAGGCUAAAACAGUCAGGAGGUUGGCUUAGAAGCAGCCACCCUUUAAAGAAAGCGUAAUAGCUCACUGAUCGAGUCGUCCUGCGCGGAAGAUGUAACGGGGCUAAGCUAUAUACCGAAGCUGCGGAUGCGUGCUUUGCACGCAUGGUAGGAGAGCGUUCCGUAAGCCUGCGAAGGUGCCUUGUAAAGGGUGCUGGAGGUAUCGGAAGUGCGAAUGCUGACAUGAGUAGCGAUAAAGGGGGUGAAAGGCCCCCUCGCCGUAAGCCCAAGGUUUCCUACGCAACGUUCAUCGGCGUAGGGUGAGUCGGCCCCUAAGGCGAGGCAGAAAUGCGUAGCUGAUGGGAAGCAGGUCAAUAUUCCUGCACCAUUGUUAGAUGCGAUGGGGGGACGGAUCGCGGAAGGUUGUCCGGGUGUUGGAAGUCCCGGU
Molecule: ribosomal RNA, 1286 nt
Filed under: Burkholderia contaminans
Lineage: Bacteria; Pseudomonadati; Pseudomonadota; Betaproteobacteria; Burkholderiales; Burkholderiaceae
Description: 23S ribosomal RNA (partial)
Rfam family: Bacterial large subunit ribosomal RNA
Source: RNAcentral